Hydra vulgaris (swiftwater hydra) is the source of this 495-nucleotide long non-coding RNA. RefSeq lists it as uncharacterized. The record is from RefSeq and is a predicted model, not a curated record. NCBI's taxonomy places the organism in Eukaryota, Metazoa, Cnidaria, Hydrozoa, Anthoathecata, Hydridae.
ACUAUCUUAUAGCCUGCAGCUACAAGAAAUUAUUUUAAGGUUACACGAAAUAUUACAUUACGAAAUAUUACAUUACGAAAUCUACAAGAAAUAUUUUAGGCCGCGUAACUGUAGGAUUACCUCAGUGCUAAAAAUCUAAUGGCGCUUUCUCUGUUGAGUUCAAGAGCUUCUUCAAAUCGAAUGAUCUUUUUACAAUGGAAACGAAAUUUAUCGAUAAAAGACAUAGCUGUUCAGUUGGUUACUACUCGAAAAAAAAUUGAUCAAACAGUUUUACAAAAAAUAGAGGAGCAAGACAAGGAAAAUAUAAUUAAUGCAAAUAUUUAUAAAUGCUCAGAAUAUUACAAGUACAACGAUAUGUCUUUCUAUGACAUUGAAAAAGACAUUGCUGCUUGCAGUUACCGCCAGCCUCAACCUGUUUCAAAUCUUUAAAUACUUAUUGUUUUAUGGCCUUUUUGUUAAAUCACUAUUAAGUAAUUAACAAAUAUCAGUUAUGCA